This 71-nucleotide transfer RNA is filed under the name Marmota monax (woodchuck). RNAcentral's name for it is "tRNA.Ala". The record is from RNAcentral. Lineage: Eukaryota; Metazoa; Chordata; Mammalia; Rodentia; Sciuridae.
GGGGUUGUGGCUCAGUGGUAGAGCACUCAUCUAGCACGAGCGAGGCCCUGGGUUCUAUCCUCAACACCACA